This 281-nucleotide ribosomal RNA is filed under the name uncultured archaeon. Its description in RNAcentral is "partial 16S ribosomal RNA". It matches the Rfam family "Archaeal small subunit ribosomal RNA", at positions 491 to 772 of the family's 1478-position model. The record is from RNAcentral.
GUCAGGAGGUUUAUUGGGCCUAAAGCAUCCGUAGCCGGUUGCAUAAGUUUUCGGUUAAAUCUAUGCGCUUAACGUAUAGGCCGCCGAAAAUACUGUGCAGCUAGGGAGUGGGAGAGGUACACGGUANNCNNNNNGAAGGGGUAAAAUCCUUUGAUCUAUUGAUGACCACCUGUGGCGAAGGCGGUGUACCAGAACACGUUNNACGGUGAGGGAUGAAAGCUGGGGGAGCAAACCGGAUUAGAUACCCGGGUAGUCCCAGCUGUAAACGAUGCAGACUCGGU